RNAcentral lists this ribosomal RNA (2141 nucleotides) under Plasmodium falciparum 397.1. RNAcentral's name for it is "SSU rRNA". It matches the Rfam family "Eukaryotic small subunit ribosomal RNA". Lineage: Eukaryota; Apicomplexa; Aconoidasida; Haemosporida; Plasmodiidae. The record is from RNAcentral.
CCUGGUUGAUCUUGCCAGUAGUCAUAUGCUUGUCUCACAGAUUAAGCCAUGCAAGUGAAAGUACAUAUGUAAAUAAUAUAUUGAAACUGCGAACGGCUCAUUAAAACAGUUAUAAUCUACUUGAUGUUUUUAAUAUAAGGAUAACUACGGAAAAUCUGUAGCUAAUACUUGUGAAAAUACCUUUUGAUAUAUACAUAUGUAUGUAUCAUUAAGGUAUGUAUUUGUUAGAUAUAAGAAUAAAAUAAAUAUAAUUGAAUUAUAACAAAGAAGAAACACAUAAAAUAUGUGUAUUAUCAAUCGAGUAUCUGACCUAUCAGCUUUUGAUGUUAGGGUAUUGACCUAACAUGGCUAUGACGGGUAACGGGGAAUUAGAGUUCGAUUCCGGAGAGGGAGCCUGAGAAAUAGCUACCACAUCUAAGGAAGGCAGCAGGCGCGUAAAUUACCCAAUUCUAAAAAAGAGAGGUAGUGACAAGAAAUAACAAUACAAUAUCGAAAAAUGAUUUUGUAAUUGGAAUGAUAGGAAUUUACAAGGUUCCUAGAGAAACAAUUGGAGGGCAAGUCUGGUGCCAGCAGCCGCGGUAAUUCCAGCUCCAAUAGCAUAUAUUAAAAUUGUUGCAGUUAAAACGUUCGUAGUUGAAUAUUAAAGAAUCCGAUGUUUCAUUUAAACUGGUUUGGGAAAACCAAAUAUAUUAUAUAUUUUGCUUUGUUCAAAAUAAGGUUUUCUAAUAAAUUAUGUUUUUAUCAGAUAUGACAGAAUCUUUUUUAAAAUCUCUUCAAUAUGCUUUUAUUGCUUUUGAGAGGUUUUGUUACUUUGAGUAAAAUUAAGUGUUCAUAACAGACGGGUAGUCAUGAUUGAGUUCAUUGUGUUUGAAUACUACAGCAUGGAAUAACAAAUAUGAAUAAGCUAAUUAUUUUUUUUUUUCAUAAUUUUUUUUGAUAUUCUUAUUAGCUUAGUUACGAUUAAUAGGAGUAGCUUUGGGGGCAUUCGUAUUCAGAUGUCAGAGGUGAAAUUCUAAGAUUUUCUGGAGACGGACUACUGCGAAAGCAUUUGCCUAAUCUAUUUCCAUUAAUCAAGAACGAAAGUUAAGGGAGUGAAGACGAUCAGAUACCGUCGUAAUCUUAACCAUAAACUAUACCGACUAGGUGUUGGAUGAAUAUAAAAAAUAUAUAAAUAUGUAGCAUUUCUUAGGGAAUGUUGAUUUUAUAUUAGAAUUGCUUCCUUCAGUACCUUAUGAGAAAUCAAAGUCUUUGGGUUCUGGGGCGAGUAUUCGCGCAAGCGAGAAAGUUAAAAGAAUUGACGGAAGGGCACCACCAGGCGUGGAGCUUGCGGCUUAAUUUGACUCAACACGGGAAAACUCACUAGUUUAAGACAAGAGUAGGAUUGACAGAUUAAUAGCUCUUUCUUGAUUUCUUGGAUGGUGAUGCAUGGCCGUUUUUAGUUCGUGAAUAUGAUUUGUCUGGUUAAUUCCGAUAACGAACGAGAUCUUAACCUGCUAAUUAGCGGUAAGUACACUAUAUUUUUAUUUGAAAUUGAAUAUAGGUAAUUAUACAUGUUUAUUCAGUGUUCAAAUUAGGAUAUUUUUUUUAUUAAAAUAUUCUUUUCCCUGUUCUACUUUAAUAAUUUGUUUUUUUUUACUCUAUUUCUCUCUUCUUUUAAGAAUGUACUUGUUUGAUUAAAUAAAGCUUCUUAGAGGAACAGUGUGUAUCUAACACAAGGAAGUUUAAGGCAACAACAGGUCUGUGAUGUCCUUAGAUAAACUAGGCUGCACGCGUGCUACAAUGAUAUAUAUAACAAGUUGUUAAAAAUGUACUUAUAAAUAAGUGUGUACAGUUUUUCCUGUACUGAAAAGUAUAGGUAAUCUUUAUCAGUAUAUAUCGUAAUUGGGAUAGAUUAUUGCAAUUAUUAAUCUUGAACGAGGAAUGCCUAGUAAGCAUGAUUCAUUAGAUUGUGCUGACUACGUCCCUGCCCUUUGUACACACCGCCCGUCGCUCCUACCGAUUGAAAGAUAUGAUAAAUUGUUUGGAUAUGAAUUAAAAUAAUGAAAUUUUAUAUUUCUGAUUUUUUCUAGAAGAACUGUAAAUCCUAUCUUUUAAAGGAAGGAGAAGUCGUAACAAGGUUUCCGUAGGUGAACCUGCGGAAG